GACGAACGCUGGCGGCGUGCUUAACACAUGCAAGUCGAACGGAAAGGCCCUGCUUUUGUGGGGUGCUCGAGUGGCGAACGGGUGAGUAACACGUGAGUAACCUGCCCUUGACUUUGGGAUAACUUCAGGAAACUGGGGCUAAUACCGGAUAGGAGCUCCUGCUGCAUGGUGGGGGUUGGAAAGUUUCGGCGGUUGGGGAUGGACUCGCGGCUUAUCAGCUUGUUGGUGGGGUAGUGGCUUACCAAGGCUUUGACGGGUAGCCGGCCUGAGAGGGUGACCGGACACAUUGGGACUGAGAUACGGACCAGACUCCUACGGGAGGCAGCAGUGGGGAAUAUUGCACAAUGGGCGGAAGCCUGAUGCAGCAACGCCGCGUGCGGGAUGACGGCCUUCGGGUUGUAAACCGCUUUCGCCUGUGACGAAGCGUGAGUGACGGUAAUGGGUAAAGAAGCACCGGCUAACUACGUG
Molecule: ribosomal RNA, 468 nt
Filed under: uncultured bacterium
Lineage: Bacteria
Description: partial 16S ribosomal RNA
Rfam family: Bacterial small subunit ribosomal RNA
Source: RNAcentral